AAGCUGUUGUGACCUAAACCAAAGUCAAGUAGGUGAGUGUAACAUUCAUGAACGCAUGUGCUACCUAGAAUUCCAUUUUGGGGAGGGCCCGAGAACUGCACGAGACGCGUCCGCGCGCGAGAUCUAUCUCCGCUCGCUGCUGCUGCUGUCGCGCGGCACAUGACAAGCGAGUGCGCGGUGCAGAACCCAGGUGAAUGCUUUCAGGAGGCGGCGGUGACAGUCAGGACGACGCUCCCGACGAGUCAACUUGAUUACAUUUGGGCGCAUCCAAGAGAAGAAAAAACAUGCAUGUCUUCUCCGAAGAAACUUGUAUGCGGAAUCAGAACUGGACCCUAAGAUCGACAAACUUUCCUACAACUGUCAAUGCGUAGGCUACAAUCAAAACAGUGGAGAAAAAUGAGUUGAUAUAUCGCUCAAACAAUGGAAGACAAGCAGAGUGAAGACAUUUUCAGCCAGGGGUCCCAGAAGUUACUCCAGGGCAUCAUUGAACAAGACCUGCAGAAAGCUGAGCCAGCCAACACAUGGGUGUCAGUUUGCUCGUGUCGUGUAGGAGCAUUUUACGAGGUGAUGUUAAUGGGAUACAGAAAGGAGGUCCUUCUUCUGUAUGCUUCAUUUCAGGGUAUGUCAUCCCUCAGGCCUCCUGAACCUGGGCUGAGGUCAGAAACAGGAGAACCAGAUAGAUUAUCCAGACCAAAUACAAGUUGUUCACACACACACUUUAGAGACACAGAAGACUUUAAAGGUUACACAUCUUGUGGAUUCAUGUACUGGAUAAUGCAAAAAAACAGAUGUUAAUUUCUACUCAGAAAUGUUUCCUAUUGCUCUCUUGCUUGUGUGUUAGUAAUGUUAAAGAUAAUAAAAGAAGAAUUUCUGGUAUUCAUUUUAACUCCAGCCCUCACACCCACACGAGGACAACAAGUCACAUGCUUUCUCAUUUCCACCAGAAGCAACAAGUCAAACAGUCAGGAUAUCGGCUUCCAGUAUAAACUCACAUUGGAUUUGAAUCAGUCUCGUAAAUUUCAAUAAAAGUGAAUCUUUGACACUGCAUCUUUAAUUCUGUCUUCUUUUUUUUUACAGA
Molecule: long non-coding RNA, 1078 nt
Organism: Cyprinus carpio carpio
Lineage: Eukaryota; Metazoa; Chordata; Actinopteri; Cypriniformes; Cyprinidae
Source: Ensembl